GUGCUCACUUUGGCAGCACAUAUACUAAAAUUGGAACGAUACAGAGAGGAUUAGCAUGGCCCCUGCGCAAUGAUGACAUGCAAAUUUGUAAAACAGUCCAUAUUUUU
RNAcentral lists this small nuclear RNA (107 nucleotides) under Dasypus novemcinctus (nine-banded armadillo). Lineage: Eukaryota; Metazoa; Chordata; Mammalia; Cingulata; Dasypodidae. The record is from RNAcentral.